This 119-nucleotide ribosomal RNA is filed under the name Pteropus alecto (black flying fox). The record is from RNAcentral. Lineage: Eukaryota; Metazoa; Chordata; Mammalia; Chiroptera; Pteropodidae.
GUCUACAGCCAUGCUACCCUGAACACGCCCGAUCUCAUCUGAUGCUGGAAGCUAAGCAGGGUCAGGCCUGUUUAGUAUUUGGAUGGGAAACCACCUAGGAAGACCGGGUGCUGUAGGUC